Pseudophryne corroboree (corroboree frog) is the source of this 3145-nucleotide long non-coding RNA. RefSeq lists it as uncharacterized. NCBI's taxonomy places the organism in Eukaryota, Metazoa, Chordata, Amphibia, Anura, Myobatrachidae. The record is from RefSeq and is a predicted model, not a curated record. The transcript has 3 exons.
UCGUAUGACCAUACAGUGUAAUCAUUCAUGUAAAGGUACUUUAUAAGCUGGAUAUCUAUCGUACAGGAGAGUUUCAAAAUCAAUGACAAAAACGAAUGACUGUGGUACAUGAGAACUUCUGGUAACAAUUAUAUGUUGUGCUCCAUCCACACCUUGUGAUUUCACACCCAGAAAUAAUGAUAUUUCGUUGUUGACACUACUAUAGGUACUGAAGUAUCUACCAUUGGACAGCGGAUUGAAGUGUUGUGUGCUGGGAGGUGGAACUGCAGCAUCUUAAUCAUUAAACUGAAACUGAGGGACCUGAAAAUAAACCGUAGCUGCAUAAGCCAAGGCAGUGAUCUGGUUAUUGUCACCAUUUGCAGGCUUGCAUGUGUAAUAAGCCUUAGAACAGGCAUCUGUUGUAGUAGCAGUGUGGAGAUGGUGGGAGAGGUGCCUAUCCCUGGUGUCAUGGUCUCAGCCCAAGUUACUGCGCCGGAUGAGAGUUUUUUUUUUUCCUUCCUAUCUGUUUUUUUUUUUCUUCUUGUGGAUCUGACUGACCUGUCCUAUAUUAUAUAUAAUUCCUAGCGAGUCACUUGCUGCAGAUGGCUCCGUCUUCCCUUGGCAGACGCAUCUCACCAAGCGCAAGUCUGAGGGCCGCAUGUCAGUUAUUGCUGUGGACAUGACUCUGAAAAUGUAAGUUGAGACCGGUGGCAGCAGCAAGCCAGCAAGACUGCAUCUCCUUCUUCUCCCCCCCUAACAUAGGAACCGAGCAUGGAGCUGCCCCCUAAAUGCACAAACACACGCACACAUACAUGAGCUGUGUGCCCUCAUUCUGCCACCAUUGGGGGAAGAGGAAAAAGCCUGGCAUGCACAACGCAGGAGGAUCAGGAUCAGAGCAUUGAAUCAUCCUGUCACUGUGGACUGGAAUGAGAUUUUCUUCCUGGGGCUGGCUGGGCUGCACAGAGCACAAGCCUCUACAUCUCUAUACUGGAGUCUUGGGUGAGAAUGAGACCAUUUACAAUGCAAAUAGAGGCCUGGGAAAGGGCUGGAUGCUGCUCCAUGCGCCCUGGGAGCUGCUGCGCUAUCCUCUCUCUGCUACACACAUUGGGUGAUUACCACUAUCGGAAUAACUCGCCAGGAGCAAAGUUGGGGAUAAACUUUGAUGGCAACAGAUCUCUUUGGUUGAUUAUGGAGCUGAUUACAGGCGGUGAGGAGGGUGUUUGUUCAGAGAAUCAUGGUUACAAGGCGCCGACUGCUGCUAAAGCCACCCAACCUCAUGUGGAUACUCAGGCUGUACCUGUAGACGAGAAGUGGUUGUUAUCUUUGGUUAUCUAGCUGUAUGAGUUUAUCGGUUUUCAUAAAGCUAGAUAACCGAAAGUAAAAACUCCUUCCAAAACAUCACAAUGCAGGGAAUUGCAUUAUCCACAGGGGGACUGCUGGAAAGUGACUGAACCAAGCCAAACGUAAAAAUAAAACAAUUAGAGACCCAUAUGCAUAUAUAUGUGAGGUGUGUGUAUAUAUAUAUAUAUAUAUAUAUAUAUAUAUAUAUAUACACCACACGAUGGGAGAAUUUCCGUAUGUGUCCUCAUGUUUAAGCACGGAUUUCAAUGAGGACCUGGUUUUAUUAACAAAACCCUCUUGGAAAAUGGAUGGUAAUGUAUAUGCAACUUAUCAUGUUCAGCAUAAAAAGCUACAUAUACUGAUUUGUUUCCAAUUCUGACACUUUCAUUGACAAAUAGUGGGCCUGGCUGGUAGAGAUGCAAUGACAUUCAGAGUAUAUCGUAUACUGCUCUUAGGUAGAUAAAUGGUUAAAUACUGUAGAUCAUACUAUACAAAGCUAUUUGGCAGCUAUAUACAUACAUACAUACAUACAUACAUACACACACACAUAUAUAUAUAUAUAUAUAUAUAUAUAUAAAAUGGUCCAAUAGCUAGAGCCCUAGUCACGUUAGGAUCACUUACAUUUUGGAUGUCUUAUGGUUUUAUACGACUUUUAAAUCUAAAUCCGUUCUUUACCUGUAAGUAAGUGCAUUAAAACAAGUUUGCUCUGAUUUAAUUCCAUCAUUUGGCUUCGUAAUUUUCAUAAAUAAAGAGGGCUAAAGCAGUGGAACAAAUAUGAGAGCUGAAAAAAAUGUACUUAUUCUAUUUAUAAAAUGCAAGAACAGAUGCUUGUCAAUUGUGUGUGGGUCUCCUUGAGGAAGUCAGUGGAGCAUAAAGACAUGAUGGAGAAGAGUUCGCCUCCCCCUUGUCAAAGUGUUAAAAAAAAAUUUCUGUCUCACUCUGCUCCGAGCAUUGGGAAUAAAAAUGGCAUUUACUCCCCAAAAACCCCACGUGUGCUCCUCCUCUACACCCUGCCUGUGGCUGCUGGGUGAGGUUGGGCAGAUCUAUCCAAGAAAAAGCUCUGGCAUCCCAAACUGCAAUAAUAAUACUAAUAAUUAGGAGGUAGAGACAAGUGACACAAAUGGGAAGGGGGAGGAGAGUGGAAGGUGGCUCUGUCCUGCCUAAUUGAUUCGGUUUAAACGGAAUGCAGGAGAUGUGAACGGCUGGACGCUCCUAUUCCCACGCUCGGGGGCAAGUGGCAAUGCCAUGCCCUGGCAGCCUGUGACAGACAGCCUUGCAGGAGGGGGGUGGGGAGGUGAGACACAGCAAGUGCACCAACACCACACUCAUCUCAAAGCUUAAGAAAGUGCAGGCAUUUCCCACCCACAGCCAUCUGCAGGCUCCCCAAUGAGAGCACCAACUGUUUAGCAGUAGCACAUUGUCUGCUUUUUUUGUUCAUUUAAUAACCACCAAGAUGCUUAUGCUAUAAAUGUAUUAUCUAAAAAAAUAAAUGUGUGAUCAGUCCCACAUUGAAUAUAAUGUGCAUUUUUUUAUUUUUUUUAAAGAAAUGCUUAUUUGUAUAUUAGAUUGCAUGGUAUAUAAUAUUGCUAUUGUAAUACAGAAAACCUUAGCAGUUUAUCCAGAAUUACAGGAAAGCAUUUAAAGUGUAAAUCAAACAAUGUCUAUUCAUUGAGUUUAUUUAAUCUGUUUUGUAAAUGAUGUGGUUAUAUGGCUCUUCUUAAAUGCUCAGUGAUAUUACAGCAGUGUUAAAGAGACAUGCAUUUAAACAUCUUGCUUAAUCUAUCCCCUAUGUAUUAGGCACAUUAAAAGAAAGAUUACACCUUCA